GCCCGGGUGGUGAAAUAGGUAGACACAAGAGACUUAAAAUCUCUCGCUUUCCGUAAGGGGCGUACCGGUUCGAUUCCGGUCUCGGGCACCA
Molecule: transfer RNA, 91 nt
Filed under: Burkholderiales bacterium
Lineage: Bacteria; Pseudomonadati; Pseudomonadota; Betaproteobacteria; Burkholderiales
Description: tRNA-Leu
Rfam family: tRNA
About the family: Transfer RNA (tRNA) molecules are approximately 80 nucleotides in length. Their secondary structure includes four short double-helical elements and three loops (D, anti-codon, and T loops). Further hydrogen bonds mediate the characteristic L-shaped molecular structure. tRNAs have two regions of fundamental functional importance: the anti-codon, which is responsible for specific mRNA codon recognition, and the 3' end, to which the tRNAs corresponding amino acid is attached (by aminoacyl-tRNA synthetases). tRNAs cope with the degeneracy of the genetic code in two manners: having more than one tRNA (with a specific anti-codon) for a particular amino acid; and 'wobble' base-pairing, i.e. permitting non-standard base-pairing at the 3rd anti-codon position.
Source: RNAcentral